RNAcentral lists this ribosomal RNA (253 nucleotides) under uncultured bacterium. RNAcentral's name for it is "partial 16S ribosomal RNA". It matches the Rfam family "Bacterial small subunit ribosomal RNA", at positions 524 to 776 of the family's 1533-position model. The record is from RNAcentral.
UACGGAGGGUGCGAGCGUUGUUCGGAUUUACUGGGCGUAAAGGGCGCGUAGGCGGCCUGCUAAGUCGAACGUGAAAUCCCCGGGCUCAACCCGGGAACUGCGUCCGAUACUGGUGGGCUUGAAUCCGGGAGAGGGAUGUGGAAUUCCAGGUGUAGCGGUGAAAUGCGUAGAUAUCUGGAGGAACACCGGUGGCGAAGGCGGCAUCCUGGACCGGUAUUGACGCUGAGGCGCGAAAGCCAGGGGAGCAAACGGG